RNAcentral lists this ribosomal RNA (474 nucleotides) under uncultured bacterium. Its description in RNAcentral is "bacterial SSU rRNA". It matches the Rfam family "Bacterial small subunit ribosomal RNA", at positions 26 to 507 of the family's 1533-position model. The record is from RNAcentral.
CAGUGGCUCGAGGACGAACGCUGGCGGCGUGCCUAACACAUGCAAGUCGAGCGAGUGAAUCUCCUUCGGGAGUGAAGCCAGCGGCGGACGGGUGAGUAACACGUGGGCAACCUGCCUCAUAGAGGGAAUAGCCUUCCGAAAGGAAGAUUAAUACCGCAUAAGAUUGUAGCUUCGCAUGAAGUAGCAAUUAAAGGAGCAAUCCGCUAUGAGAUGGGCCCGCGGCGCAUUAGCUAGUUGGUGAGGUAACGGCUCACCAAGGCGACGAUGCGUAGCCGACCUGAGAGGGUGAUCGGCCACAUUGGGACUGAGACACGGCCCAGACUCCUACGGGAGGCAGCAGGUGGGAAUAUUGCACAAUGGGGAAACCCUGAUGCAGCAACGCCGCGUGAGUGAUGACGGCCUUCGGGUUGUAAAGCUCUGUCUUCAGGGACGAUAAUGACGGUACCUGAGGAGGAAGCCACGGCUAACUACGUG